UACGUAGGGGGCAAGCGUUGUCCGGAUUUAUUGGGCGUAAAGCGCUCGCAGGUGGUUCGUCGCGUCGUGCGUGAAAGACCCCGGCUCAACUGGGGAGGGUCGUGCGAUACGGGCGGACUGGAGGCCAGUAGGGGGAUGCGGAAUUCCGGGUGUAGUGGUGGAAUGCGCAGAUAUCAGGAGGAACACCGAUGGCGAAGGCAGAUCUCUGGGCCGUAACUGACGCUGAGGAGCGAAAGCGUGGGGAGCGAACAGG
RNAcentral lists this ribosomal RNA (253 nucleotides) under uncultured bacterium. RNAcentral's name for it is "partial 16S ribosomal RNA". It matches the Rfam family "Bacterial small subunit ribosomal RNA", at positions 524 to 776 of the family's 1533-position model. The record is from RNAcentral.